This 1080-nucleotide ribosomal RNA is filed under the name Triticum aestivum (bread wheat). RNAcentral describes it as "partial small subunit ribosomal RNA". The record is from RNAcentral. Lineage: Eukaryota; Viridiplantae; Streptophyta; Magnoliopsida; Poales; Poaceae.
AUGUGCGGGCGCGGGGCGUGUCGGCGCGGUGGAGGGCGUCUGGCGGCGGCGUCGCGGACGUGUGGCUCGGCGCGGUGGGCUGCGUGGUGGCGGUGCCUGUCGCGGCCGUGGCGGCCCGAUUUGGUUUGGUCCGGGCCCGAUUCGGGCGGCGGUGGCGACGGAUGGCUCGGUGGCCGCCGGUGGCUUCUCCUCCCGCUCCUGGAGGUCUCCCUCCUGCCCCAUGGGUGGCUGGGGUGGCUGCUGCGCGGCCGCAGGGCGGGUGGCAGCGCGUCCGACUCAGAUCUGGCGGUGGGAUUUGGGUGGACGGUGCGGGUGGGGCUGCGGCCUGGUGUAGCCGUGGCUCCGGCCGUAGGCGGUGGCGCGUGGAGGUCCGGCUCAUGGUGGUGGUCUCCCGAGGGUGCGGCGGUUACAUGGUGGUUUGGCGGAUCUGCCCGCAGCGACGGCCAGCUAUCUCCGGCGUCGGCUCGUUUGCGGUCGGACCGCUUCGACCGUAGCUCCAUCUACUCGUCGCCCGGGCGUUACUUCGGUCCAGUGGCUGGCCCUCUCCCAGCUGCGGUCCUUCGCUCGUCUCAUGCCCGGAGCUGCAGGAUGGAGCUCGUCUCGCGCCCGGCAGCAGGACGGAGCUCGUCUCGCGCCCGGCAACAGGACAAAGCUCGUCUCGCGCCCGGCAGCUGGACGGAGCUCGUCUCGCGCCCGACAUCAGGACUGAGCUCGUCUCGCGCUCGGGGCUGCAGGACGGGCGAUGGAGGCCAGUUUUGGCCGGCCUAUUGGGUCUCGGCGCUGGGGUUCGUCCAGGGGUGCGAAAGGCGGGACCUUUCCACUCGUCUCUUCGGUUGGGGUAGCGGCGGGUCACGGGUGAGGUGGUGUCGAGGUCUUGGAUGCUGGGGUGGCGGCCCUGGUGGUGGUGGUUGUGCGGUGCUCUUGGACAAAGCCCGUGCCUUGGUGCUGCCCGGUCAUCAUGGUCGUGUGGGCGGCGUGGUUGCCGGGGUGUGGCGUUCGGUGGUGGUGAUUGUGGGCCGAGGUGAAAACCUGCUCUAUCUUCGGACGGACCGGCGGCGGCGAAGAUCGUUCCCUUCUUGA